RNAcentral lists this ribosomal RNA (674 nucleotides) under Arthrobacter sp. Its description in RNAcentral is "bacterial SSU rRNA". It matches the Rfam family "Bacterial small subunit ribosomal RNA", at positions 332 to 1015 of the family's 1533-position model. Lineage: Bacteria; Bacillati; Actinomycetota; Actinomycetes; Micrococcales; Micrococcaceae. The record is from RNAcentral.
CCUACUCCUACGGGAGGCAGCAGUGGGGAAUAUUGCACAAUGGGCGCAAGCCUGAUGCAGCGACGCCGCGUGAGGGAUGACGGCCUUCGGGUUGUAAACCUCUUUCAGUAGGGAAGAAGCGAAAGUGACGGUACCUGCAGAAGAAGCGCCGGCUAACUACGUGCCAGCAGCCGCGGUAAUACGUAGGGCGCAAGCGUUAUCCGGAUUUAUUGGGCGUAAAGAGCUCGUAGGCGGUUUGUCGCGUCUGCCGUGAAAGUCCGAGGCUCAACCUCGGAUCUGCGGUGGGUACGGGCAGACUAGAGUGAUGUAGGGGAGACUGGAAUUCCUGGUGUAGCGGUGAAAUGCGCAGAUAUCAGGAGGAACACCGAUGGCGAAGGCAGGUCUCUGGGCAUUUACUGACGCUGAGGAGCGAAAGCAUGGGGAGCGAACAGGAUUAGAUACCCUGGUAGUCCAUGCCGUAAACGUUGGGCACUAGGUGUGGGGGACAUUCCACGUUUUCCGCGCCGUAGCUAACGCAUUAAGUGCCCCGCCUGGGGAGUACGGCCGCAAGGCUAAAACUCAAAGGAAUUGACGGGGGCCCGCACAAGCGGCGGAGCAUGCGGAUUAAUUCGAUGCAACGCGAAGAACCUUACCAAGGCUUGACAUGUGCCAGACCGCCUCAGAGAUGGGUUGCC